CCUUUGACAUGUACGGAAUCNUGAAGAGAUUUGGGAGUGCUCGAAAGAGAACCGUAACACAGGUGUUGCAUGGCCNCUCGUCAGCUCGUGUCGUGAGAUGUUGGGUUAAGUCCCGCAACGAGCGCAACCCUUGUCAUUAGUUGCUACGAAAGGGCACUCUAAUGAGACUGCCGGUGACAAACCGGAGGAAGGUGGGGAUGACGUCAAGUCCUCAUGGCCNUUAUAGGUGGGGCUACACACGUCAUACAAUGGCUGGUACAAAGGGUUGCCAACCCGCGAGGGGGAGCUAAAAACAUAAAACCAGUCGUAGUCCGGAUCGCAGUCUGCAACUCGACUACGUGAAGCUGGAAUCGCUAGUAAUCGCGGAUCAGCAUGCCGCGGUGAAUACGUUCCCGGGUCUUGUACACACCGCCCGUCACACCAUGGGAGUGGGCUUUACCAGAAGUAGUUAGCCU
RNAcentral lists this ribosomal RNA (455 nucleotides) under uncultured bacterium. Its description in RNAcentral is "bacterial SSU rRNA". It matches the Rfam family "Bacterial small subunit ribosomal RNA", at positions 978 to 1436 of the family's 1533-position model. The record is from RNAcentral.